RNAcentral lists this unclassified non-coding RNA (487 nucleotides) under Bombus terrestris (buff-tailed bumblebee). RNAcentral describes it as "misc RNA ENSBTSG00005022985.1". The record is from RNAcentral. Lineage: Eukaryota; Metazoa; Arthropoda; Insecta; Hymenoptera; Apidae.
CUUGAACGUAUCCCAGCAGAAACAGGCUGCAGAGGAUCCAGAUUCGUAUCAUUGUAUUCAUGGUCCGCUGGCACUUGACACUUUACUCGCGGCAGGAUACACCUCUUCGUCACUAACUGAUCUCCGUUUGUAUCACGACCACAUUCACACACCUUGUUGUCGACACACGGCAACUCGCGUUCACGAUUCUCUUACCGCCGGAAAUGGGAUACUAGCCGCGAUAUAGACUUGGAUAUAUCGGAAGGAAGGAAACGCAACGUGCGUUAAAACUACACGAUUCACGGGACAAGGCGUACUGGUCGCGCCUGUGCCAGUUAUCUCCGUCGCCUCAUUGCCGCGAAAGGGCCACCUUCCAUCGCAUCGCUUCGAACUGGGUUAAUACACGGGAAACGAUUGUUUGUAGCGUUAGUCCGCCGAUACCAAACGGUUCUAGGUUGCGCAUCGCGCAAUUUCGUAUCGAUACCUCCGAGUUCCCACUAAUUCUCCG